AUAGCGUAUAUUAAAGUUGUUGCAGUUAAAAAGCUCGUAGUUGAAUUUUAGGCCUGGUUGGACGGUCUGCCUUAGGGUUUGUACUGUCCUGGCUGGGUCUUCCCUUCUGGUAAACUGUCGUGUCGUUUAUUCGGUGCGGCAGGGAACCAGGACUUUUACUUUGAAAAAAUUAGAGUGUUUAAAGCAGGCCUACGCCUGAAUACAUUAGCAUGGAAUAAUAAAAUAGGACUUUGGUUUUAUUUUGUUGGUUUCUAGGACCACCGUAAUGAUUAAUAGGGAUAGUCGGGGGCAUCAGUAUUCAAUUGUCAGAGGUGAAAUUCUUGGAUUAAUUGAAGACUAACUACUG
Molecule: ribosomal RNA, 346 nt
Filed under: uncultured eukaryote
Lineage: Eukaryota
Description: SSU rRNA
Rfam family: Eukaryotic small subunit ribosomal RNA
Source: RNAcentral